Transfer RNA from Candida tropicalis MYA-3404, 113 nucleotides. It matches the Rfam family "tRNA". Rfam says of the family: Transfer RNA (tRNA) molecules are approximately 80 nucleotides in length. Their secondary structure includes four short double-helical elements and three loops (D, anti-codon, and T loops). The record is from Rfam. NCBI's taxonomy places the organism in Eukaryota, Fungi, Ascomycota, Pichiomycetes, Serinales, Debaryomycetaceae.
GACACUGUGGCCGAGUUGGUCUAAGGCGGUAGACUCAAGAACUUGAUUCUUCUUCUGAGUUUCAGAGGUUUCUACUAUCGUAAGAUGCGCGAGUUCGAAUCUCGUCGGUGUCA